GUAACAAGGUCUCCGUUGGUGAACCAGCGGAGGGAUCAUUACCGAGUUUACAACUCCCAAACCCCUGUGAACAUACCUUAUGUUGCCUCGGCGGAUCAGCCCGCGCCCCGUAAAAAGGGACGGCCCGCCGCAGGAACCUUAAACUCUGUUUUUAGUGGAACUUCUGAGUAUAAAAAACAAAUAAAUCAAAACUUUCAACAACGGAUCUCUUGGUUCUGGCAUCGAUGAAGAACGCAGCAAAAUGCGAUAAGUAAUGUGAAUUGCAGAAUUCAGUGAAUCAUCGAAUCUUUGAACGCACAUUGCGCCCGCCAGUAUUCUGGCGGGCAUGCCUGUUCGAGCGUCAUUUCAACCCUCAAGCCCAGCUUGGUGUUGGGAGCUGCAGUCCUGCUGCACUCCCCAAAUACAUUGGCGGUCACGUCGAGCUUCCAUAGCGUAGUAAUUUACAUAUCGUUACUGGUAAUCGUCGCGGCCACGCCGUUAAACCCCAACUUCUGAAUGUUGACCUCGGAUCAGGUAGGAAUACCCGCUGAACCUAAGCAUAUCA
RNAcentral lists this unclassified non-coding RNA (544 nucleotides) under Fusarium culmorum. Its description in RNAcentral is "sequence contains 18S rRNA gene, ITS1, 5.8S rRNA gene, ITS2, 28S rRNA gene". The stretch from base 190 to 343 matches the Rfam family "5.8S ribosomal RNA". The record is from RNAcentral. Lineage: Eukaryota; Fungi; Ascomycota; Sordariomycetes; Hypocreales; Nectriaceae.